RNAcentral lists this ribosomal RNA (492 nucleotides) under uncultured bacterium. RNAcentral describes it as "partial 16S ribosomal RNA". It matches the Rfam family "Bacterial small subunit ribosomal RNA", at positions 29 to 507 of the family's 1533-position model. The record is from RNAcentral.
AGUGAACGCUGGCGGUAGGCCUAACACAUGCAAGUCGAACGGCAGCACAGUAAGAGCUUGCUCUUACGGGUGGCGAGUGGCGGACGGGUGAGGAAUACAUCGGAAUCUACUUUUUCGUGGGGGAUAACGUAGGGAAACUUACGCUAAUACCGCAUACGACCUACGGGUGAAAGCAGGGGAUCUUCGGACCUUGCGCGAUUGAAUGAGCCGAUGUCGGAUUAGCUAGUUGGCGGGGUAAAGGCCCACCAAGGCGACGAUCCGUAGCUGGCCUGAGAGGAUGAUCAGCCACACUGGAAUUGAGACACGGUCCAGACUCCUACGGGAGGCAGCAGUGGGGAAUAUUGGACAAUGGGCGCAAGCCUGAUCCAGCCAUACCGCGUAGGUGAAGAAGGCCUUCGGGUUGUAAAGCCCUUUUGUUGGGAAAGAAAAGCAGCAGGUUAAUACCCCGCUGUUCUGACGGUACCCAAAGAAUAAGCACCGGCUAACUUCGUG